GAUGAACGCUGGCGGCGUGCCUAAUACAUGCAAGUCGAGCGAACAGAUGAGGAGCUUGCUCCUCUGACGUUAGCGGCGGACGGGUGAGUAACACGUGGAUAACCUACCUAUAAGACUGGGAUAACUUCGGGAAACCGGAGCUAAUACCGGAUAAUAUAUUGAACCGCAUGCUUCAAUAGUGAAAGACGGUUUUGCUGUCACUUAUAGAUGGAUCCGCGCCGCAUUAGCUAGUUGGUAAGGUAACGGCUUACCAAGGCAACGAUGCGUAGCCGACCUGAGAGGGUGAUCGGCCACACUGGAACUGAGACACGGUCCAGACUCCUACGGGAGGCAGCAGUAGGGAAUCUUCCGCAAUGGGCGAAAGCCUGACGGAGCAACGCCGCGUGAGUGAUGAAGGUCUUCGGAUCGUAAAACUCUGUUAUUAGGGAAGAACAAAUGUGUAAGUAACUAUGCACGUCUUGACGGUACCUAAUCAGAAAGCCACGGCUAACUACGUG
This 497-nucleotide ribosomal RNA is filed under the name uncultured bacterium. RNAcentral's name for it is "partial 16S ribosomal RNA". It matches the Rfam family "Bacterial small subunit ribosomal RNA", at positions 28 to 507 of the family's 1533-position model. The record is from RNAcentral.